CUUGCUCCCUGAUGUUAGCGGCGGACGGGUGAGUAACACGUGGGUAACCUGCCUGUAAGACUGGGAUAACUCCGGGAAACCGGGGCUAAUACCGGAUGGUUGUUUGRACCGCAUGGUUCAAACAUAAAAGGUGGCUUCGGCUACCACUUACAGAUGGACCCGCGGCGCAUUAGCUAGUUGGUGAGGUAACGGCUCACCAAGGCAACGAUGCGUAGCCGACCUGAGAGGGUGAUCGGCCACACUGGGACUGAGACACGGCCCAGACUCCUACGGGAGGCAGCAGUAGGGAAUCUUCCGCAAUGGACGAAAGUCUGACGGAGCAACGCCGCGUGAGUGAUGAAGGUUUUCGGAUCGUAAAGCUCUGUUGUUAGGGAAGAACAAGUACCGUUCGAAUAGGGCGGUACCUUGACGGUACCUAACCAGAAAGCCACGGCUAACUACGUGCCAGCAGCCGCGGUAAUACGUAGGUGGCAAGCGUUGUCCGGAAUUAUUGGGCGUAAAGGGCUCGCAGGCGGUUUCUUAAGUCUGAUGUGAAAGCCCCCGGCUCAACCGGGGAGGGUCAUUGGAAACUGGGGAACUUGAGUGCAGAAGAGGAGAGUGGAAUUCCACGUGUAGCGGUGAAAUGCGUAGAGAUGUGGAGGAACAC
RNAcentral lists this ribosomal RNA (646 nucleotides) under Bacillus subtilis subsp. subtilis. RNAcentral's name for it is "bacterial SSU rRNA". It matches the Rfam family "Bacterial small subunit ribosomal RNA", at positions 79 to 709 of the family's 1533-position model. Lineage: Bacteria; Bacillati; Bacillota; Bacilli; Caryophanales; Bacillaceae. The record is from RNAcentral.